Molecule: ribosomal RNA, 402 nt
Filed under: uncultured bacterium
Lineage: Bacteria
Description: bacterial SSU rRNA
Rfam family: Bacterial small subunit ribosomal RNA
Source: RNAcentral
GAAUUUUCCGCAAUGGGCGAAAGCCUGACGCAGCAACGCCGCGUGCGGGAUGAAGGCCCUCGGGUUGUAAACCGCUUUCAGUGGGGACGAACCAAGACGGUACCCACAGAAGAAGCCCCGGCCAACUACGUGCCAGCAGCCGCGGUAACACGUAGGGGGCAAGCGUUGUCCGGAUUUAUUGGGCGUAAAGAGCUCGUAGGUGGUUCAGUAAGUCGGGUGUGAAACCUCCAGGCUCAACCUGGAGACGCCACCCGAUACUGCUGUGACUAGAGUCCAGUAGGGGAGCAUGGAAUUCCUGGUGUAGCGGUGAAAUGCGCAGAUAUCAGGAGGAACACCAGUGGCGAAGGCGGUGCUCUGGGCUGGAACUGACACUGAGGAGCGAAAGCGUGGGGAGCGAACAGG